RNAcentral lists this ribosomal RNA (427 nucleotides) under uncultured Verrucomicrobiaceae bacterium. RNAcentral describes it as "bacterial SSU rRNA". It matches the Rfam family "Bacterial small subunit ribosomal RNA", at positions 355 to 774 of the family's 1533-position model. The record is from RNAcentral. Lineage: Bacteria; Pseudomonadati; Verrucomicrobiota; Verrucomicrobiia; Verrucomicrobiales; Verrucomicrobiaceae.
UCGAGAAUAAUUCACAAUGGGGGCAACCCUGAUGGUGCAACGCCGCGUGGAGGAUGACGGUCUUCGGAUUGUAAACUCCUGUCAUCGGGGAGUAAGACCUGGCUGUUAAUAGCAGACAGGGUUGAUAGUACCCGAAGAGGAAGGGACGGCUAACUUCGUGCCAGCAGCCGCGGUAAUACGAAGGUCCCGAGCGUUGUUCGGAAUCACUGGGCGUAAAGGGAGCGUAGGCUGCGUAGUAAGUCAGAUGUGAAAUCCCGGGGCUCAACCCCGGAACUGCAUCCGAUACUGCUAUGCUAGAGGAUUGGAGAGGUAGCUGGAAUUCUUGGUGUAGCAGUGAAAUGCGUGGAGAUCAAGAGGAACACUCGUGGCGAAAGCGAGCUACUGGACAAUAUCUGACGCUGAGGCUCGAAGGCCAGGGUAGCGAAAG